RNAcentral lists this transfer RNA (89 nucleotides) under Wolfiporia cocos MD-104 SS10. RNAcentral describes it as "Wolfiporia cocos (strain MD-104) (brown rot fungus) tRNA". It matches the Rfam family "tRNA". From Rfam's summary of the family: Transfer RNA (tRNA) molecules are approximately 80 nucleotides in length. Their secondary structure includes four short double-helical elements and three loops (D, anti-codon, and T loops). Further hydrogen bonds mediate the characteristic L-shaped molecular structure. tRNAs have two regions of fundamental functional importance: the anti-codon, which is responsible for specific mRNA codon recognition, and the 3' end, to which the tRNAs corresponding amino acid is attached (by aminoacyl-tRNA synthetases). tRNAs cope with the degeneracy of the genetic code in two manners: having more than one tRNA (with a specific anti-codon) for a particular amino acid; and 'wobble' base-pairing, i.e. permitting non-standard base-pairing at the 3rd anti-codon position. Lineage: Eukaryota; Fungi; Basidiomycota; Agaricomycetes; Polyporales; Phaeolaceae. The record is from Rfam by way of RNAcentral.
GGCGGAAUGGCCGAGCGGUCUAAGGCGCCAGACUAAGGUAGUGAGCAAUCUGGUCCGAAAGGGCGCGAGUUCGAAUCUCGCUUCCGUCA